AGCAAGCAGUUUUAGAGAUGGGUAGCAUGGAUAAGGAAACCAUAGACAAGACAGGCUAAAUAAUAGCCGGGUGCAGCUGUGUAAGCCGUAGUUUCGGCAACUUUGGUGGCUGAGACAGGAUCGCAUGGACCCUGGAGUUCAAGGACUCAGCUUGUGGGGUGUGUGUGUAGGGACACGCUGUGCUGAUUGUGGGCUGUGAAGAUCCCUCCAUAAGACCUUCCGAGAAAGAGUGUUUUGCCUCUGUACGUCUGUGCACCAGAUGCACACGUGCAUGCAGUGCCUACAGAGGCCAGAAGAGGGAGGCAGGUCUCCUGAAACUGGAGUUAAAGACAAUUGUGAGCACCACUUAAGUGCUAGGAAUGGAACCCAGGUUUUCUGGAAGAGCCGCCAGUGCUCUUAGCCACUGAGCCAUCUCCUCAGACCCAAAAGAACUUUUAAAAAUGAUUUAGAAGAUAGUUUGUCAAGUACGUUGAUGCUUAAGAGAGAAGACUGUGUCUGGAGUGCGUGGUCUCCCCUUUCCUACCCCUCCCCCCUUUCCUUAUUCAAGGGACUCGCAGCUCAGUAUCCUCCGAUUACUGCAAACUCGAGGUGGCUUUAAACAACACAGUCUCAGGACUGUUGAGGAUGGAAGUCUGAUGCCAAGACGUCAACAGGGCCAAACUCUGUCUGAAGGUUCUAGACAAGCACCGACUCCUUUUCCAUCUUGAUGGUCACCCACAUUCCCUAAGUAUCUCCGCCUCUCUCAGCAGCAUGCACCAUGUGAGUCUGGGGCCAAGUCCCACUGUUUAUUAUAGGAACAUCACUCAGGACCAAGAGCUCUCUGGUAACAAGACUAUGUCAAAGCAAACAAAUUUAUCAUCCAAAUAUCUCCAGAAGGUUCCAGAAAGAACUGAACUUCACAACAAUUAACUUCAUAAAAGUAACUGCUAUUGAGACCAUUAACUAUGACAGCACAUUAAAUAUUGACUACCAAGUCUUCCUUGCUAUAAAUAUUUUAUAUAAAUGACAGAGUAAAUCUCCUUUAUAAAUAAUAACAUCAUGACAAUUUGUAAUCUUAUUCGUCAGUGUCUAGAGACCAGAAAGAGGCAUUCAAAUUAUUUUUUUUAAAUUAUAGUUCAGAAGGUUUUUACAGAAAAAAAGUAAAAUAAUUUAAAUAUUGGUUUUC
Molecule: long non-coding RNA, 1165 nt
Filed under: Cricetulus griseus (Chinese hamster)
Lineage: Eukaryota; Metazoa; Chordata; Mammalia; Rodentia; Cricetidae
Description: lncRNA (ENSCGRG00015033815.1)
Source: RNAcentral